UACGGAGGAUGCAAGCGUUAUCCGGAAUGAUUGGGCGUAAAGGGUCCGCAGGUGGCAGUGUAAGUCUGCUGUCAAAGAAUGAGGCUUAACCUCAUCAAGGCAGUGGAAACUACACAGCUAGAGUACGGUCGGGGUAGAAGGAAUUCCUGGUGUAGCGGUGAAAUGCGUAGAGAUCAGGAAGAACACCGGUAGCGAAAGCGUUCUGCUAGACCUGUACUGACACUGAGGGACGAAAGCUAGGGGAGCGAAUGGG
This 253-nucleotide ribosomal RNA is filed under the name uncultured bacterium. RNAcentral describes it as "partial 16S ribosomal RNA". It matches the Rfam family "Bacterial small subunit ribosomal RNA", at positions 524 to 776 of the family's 1533-position model. The record is from RNAcentral.